UCCAUUACCAGGGACAUGCAAGGGAUGG
Molecule: non-coding RNA, 28 nt
Filed under: Homo sapiens (human)
Lineage: Eukaryota; Metazoa; Chordata; Mammalia; Primates; Hominidae
Source: RNAcentral